Molecule: ribosomal RNA, 448 nt
Filed under: Aspergillus flavus
Lineage: Eukaryota; Fungi; Ascomycota; Eurotiomycetes; Eurotiales; Aspergillaceae
Description: eukaryotic LSU rRNA
Rfam family: 5.8S ribosomal RNA (bases 155-308)
Source: RNAcentral
CCUCCCACCCGUGUUUACUGUACCUUAGUUGCUUCGGCGGGCCCGCCAUUCAUGGCCGCCGGGGGCUCUCAGCCCCGGGCCCGCGCCCGCCGGAGACACCACGAACUCUGUCUGAUCUAGUGAAGUCUGAGUUGAUUGUAUCGCAAUCAGUUAAAACUUUCAACAAUGGAUCUCUUGGUUCCGGCAUCGAUGAAGAACGCAGCGAAAUGCGAUAACUAGUGUGAAUUGCAGAAUUCCGUGAAUCAUCGAGUCUUUGAACGCACAUUGCGCCCCCUGGUAUUCCGGGGGGCAUGCCUGUCCGAGCGUCAUUGCUGCCCAUCAAGCACGGCUUGUGUGUUGGGUCGUCGUCCCCUCUCCGGGGGGGACGGGCCCCAAAGGCAGCGGCGGCACCGCGUCCGAUCCUCGAGCGUAUGGGGCUUUGUCACCCGCUCUGUAGGCCCGGCCGGCG